RNA transcript from Carya illinoinensis, 3373 nucleotides. RefSeq lists it as uncharacterized. Lineage: Eukaryota; Viridiplantae; Streptophyta; Magnoliopsida; Fagales; Juglandaceae. The record is from RefSeq and is a predicted model, not a curated record. The transcript has 7 exons.
CUUCUCUCUUCGAAACCCUUCUCCUUUCUCUCUUCGAAACCCUACAUCCACUUUGUUCUUCGACUUUGGGCGGGGGGGGGGGAGCCGAACUCUUCUCUUCCCUCCCCUCCCCAUUUUUUCUCUUUUCUUAGCUCAGUACUCUGUUUCCCGUUUGAUUUUGUUUUAGUUUUCGUUGUGUAGUUUGUGUUUUCAGGCAAAUAAGGAGGAGUGCCGACCGGGUUGCCUUCUAGCCGUCGUUCGCCAACAAGUGCCCCUCCAGGAGGUUCGCCAACCGCCAAUCUUCAAGUCCACCAAAUGCGGCGCCAAACGGAGUGGCGUGUAACUCGCACAAGCGGGACGAAGUCUCGGACGCUCUAGAGCGUGGCCGCCACGAGCCACCAGGGAGCUACCAAUCGUUUCAAAACUAGGCUUUUCUGGGACCUCAGACUUCGGGAAAGCACAUUCCGACCGUCGGCUCUCCUCCAGCUACUAUCGCACUACACCCUUUGUUUUUUGUGUCUUCCGCCCCCAUUUCAGUAGUUUGUGUUUUCAGGCAAAUAAGGAGGAGUGUCGACCGGGUUGCCUUCUAGCCGUCGUUCGCCAACAAGCGCCCCUCCAGGAGGUUCGCCAACCGCCGAUCUUCAAGUCCACCAAACGCGGCGCCAAACGGAGUGGCGCGUAACUCGCACACGCGGGACGAAGUCUCGGACGCUCUAGAGCGUGGCCGCCACGCGCCACUAGGGAGCUACCGACCGUUUCAAAACUGGGCUUUUCUGGGACCCCAGACUUCGGGAAAGCACAUUCCGACCGUCGGCUCUCCUCCAGCUACUAUCGCACUACACCCUCUGUUUUUUGUGUCUUCCGCCCCCAUUUCAAUGGGUCUGUUUUGGUGUCUGUUCUGUUUUAGUUUUUUCACUGCCUCUGCUGCCGUGAUUUGUGUUGGUUUUUGGUGUUUUUGUAUGUUUUAUUUGAAGUCCACGGUGAGGUGAUGAGCUGUUGGGCGACCUCAAUCUGAGGCAAAGAGUUGAGAGCAGCGGGCGAUGCUACGGUCGGUGUUCGUACGGCCGGCCUUCGCUGAGGAGGUUUUUGUGGUCCGUACGCAAGCUGGGUGCUCGUGCCGUUAGGGCUCAUUAUGCCGAUUGCCUGUGGAGGGUGUGCUGUCAAAACUCAAGUCGUGCUCGUGGUUGUGUUAUUUUUGUUUUUGUUGGUUUUGUUUUGUAGGUGUCUGUGUCUUUAGCUUUAGUCUAGGUAUAUGCUAUUGGACUAUUUGUUCAUAGUAUUUGUCUCCACAUUCCGCCUCCUUGGAGGUUAGAGGGGCAAUCUAGUCUCUGUCAUAUAGAGCAGUUACUCUCUCUUUUGAGAGUUUUAGAAGUUUUAGACAAUGUCCGUCACUUUGUGUGAGGGGAAGCUCCUGAGCAGUUGCGUUAGUUGAUUUUAUAGUCAGGUUCUCCUGAUUUAUAAGUCACAGUUAUAACUUCAUUUACUGAAUGAAUGCAAUGAAGCAUCUUUCCAUUAAAAAAAAAAAAAAAAAAAAAAAGACUCACUGCACUGCUGCUGCAGCUGGCCCAGAAUUAACUAGGGCGCACAACCUCGUCCAGAAUUAGCCAUGCUGACAGCACUGGAAAAGAGAGAGGAUUUCUGCAUUUCUUGACUCUUUUGGAUUUAAACUUUAACUAGAGAAGUUUUCUCGGAGCUGAGAGGAUUGUCUUGGGGUUGAAAGAUUAAAAGAAACUGAGAAAAAUGCAGGAAGGAGGGGAGGCACUCUAUUUGCGGGUUGCUCCAACAGUCAUCUGCGCUUUCGCUUAUGUGAUCUACUCCGACAUCGAUGUUCUAACCGAAACACCGUAUGGGAUACUAGUUUUCUGCGUGGUUGUGGUUAUAAUUGAAAUGAUGCUUCUGGCGGUUUUCUGCGUGGUUGAGGUUGUAAUGAUGCUUCUGCGGGUUCUUGUUUGGCUCCGGGAUACUUUUCUUGAAUUAAGCCGUGAAAUGUCUCGUAAGAUUGUUAAGAAUUCAGGAAAUAUUGCUCGAAUGUUGGACCCAAGGGCAUACUACUCUCGUUGCCAUUGCCAGGGAAAAAACUAGUGGUUUCAUGAUUCAAAGACUGAAACAUGAUGUCGUGAAACGAAUCCGUGAUGGAGUUUAUCAUGUCAAUGUAGAGAACACAGGAGAUGUCGUAUAUAGUGUUGCACCCCGAGAUAAUUCAAUAAGUAGAGAAUCCUACAAUUUGGCAGCAGCAUGCUCUAAUGAAUUUGUGUUGAAGAGUCUUUAUUAUUUCUAUCCGAACUACAACCAAGUUUGCCAUGUAAUGGAGUACUACCAGCAAAGUCUUGAGCAUUGGUUGCAAGAGAAUUCUCUCUUUGAUCAUCAAGUGAAAAAUCUGAAUCCAGAGUUUCUUCAGAUUAUUAGGGAUGUUCUGAGGGGCAUUGAUUAUCUCCACUCUAUGAAAAAGAGAUGUCAUCGAAAUUUAAGUACGUUAAAUAUUGUGAUCGUAAAUGGUCGAGCAAAGAUUACAGGAAUGGUAAAUGAUGCCGCAACCUCAAAGACUAAGCAAGAUGAUCAUUUGGAUUAUAAGCACUUCGCCAACAUUAUUAGGACUUGCUUUGGGAGCAAACAGCAAAAGAUUCCAACAGGACUUAAGUUGUUUCUUACCUAUAUUUCAAAAGAUUCAAAAUCGAGCCGUUAUGUGAAUAGACUACUUGAAACAUCUCUGUAUACAUAUACAUGCAUAAAAACAUACAUGGAUCUGACUUGAAAUAGCUAUCUCUAACUUUUCCUGGUCUGGUUCAGGUUGCUCAAUUUUGAAAAUCAUCCAAUAUUUCUAUCCCCUUUACAAAGAUUGUGCUACAGGGUGACUGCUUAUACGUUCUUGUAUUUUGGAAAAUCAAAAAAUUCCUUUGAGUUGACACUAAAUAAAAAGCUCCAAAAAUGCAAGUGGAAGGACAGGGUUGAUAAAUUUCAAGUGGUGCUUCAUUUCCGUGAAAAAAAACAACGGAGAAAAUUUCUGUAUGACCAGUCUGCCAUAUCUUUUAUGAGGUUUGCCAGAAAUGUCAUUGUGCAUCUUGAUGACAAUUUUAGUCAAGAUUUAGUUAGCAAGAAACUGACUGCAGAGGAGGUUGAGGAAGAGCUUAAUACAUGCAUGCCCAAGUUCAUGCCCAUCUUACAUGAAGUCCUUGUUGACCAUGGCCAUCUUAUGAUUGUACUUGAUGCGGUUCUCAAGUGAAACUAUUAGGAUAUUUCUCAGAAAUGGAUAUGAGACAGAUUUGUCGAUGUUAAUGCUUUGAUUAUCAUAUUGUUAUUACAUUUAUUUAUUCUUUCACUUUUUUCUGAGUGCUACUAUACCACAACUUCUAUUAUAAUCAUUUGGGUUGUAUCUAAUUUGUUUCUUAUUUGUUUA